GGGCCCGUGGUCUAGGUGGUUAUGACGUCACCCUGACACGGUGGAGGUCCCCGGUUCGAAUCCGGGCGGGCCCA
This is a transfer RNA of Aciduliprofundum boonei T469, 74 nucleotides long. It matches the Rfam family "tRNA". From Rfam's summary of the family: Transfer RNA (tRNA) molecules are approximately 80 nucleotides in length. Their secondary structure includes four short double-helical elements and three loops (D, anti-codon, and T loops). NCBI's taxonomy places the organism in Archaea, Methanobacteriati, Thermoplasmatota. The record is from Rfam.